Molecule: long non-coding RNA, 2630 nt
Organism: Cyprinus carpio carpio
Lineage: Eukaryota; Metazoa; Chordata; Actinopteri; Cypriniformes; Cyprinidae
Source: Ensembl
GGAUGAGUUAUGCUCAGAAGUUUAAUAUUGGUGAAACACAAAUUAAAAAGAGCAAAUUAGAAUCUUCAAAAAACAUGCAAUUAUGAAAUGAGCUUUUUUUGUUGUUUAUUUAUCUUUUUUACCUCAAAACAAUGUAACCGGUAAGAAAACAUGCAAAAGAGUACAAAAUCAUUCACUCAUAAAUAGCGAGUACAUCAUAAAUUAUAAUCAAAUAUUAAUAAUAAGAGAGGGGAGGAUAAACUAAUCCAUAAAAGUUAAGUGAAAAAAAAACAGUCAUAUCUGAAAAUACACAAUCUACAGUGUUUAUCAAAUCAGAAAUGUAUUUAGUUAUCAUAGCAGAGCUGCAGCUCUCUGAUAUUGAAUUAUGAUAAAAUACUGUAAUUAAUGAAUCGUCUUAUUAACAGGCUCUACAGCACUCAGCUGUCUCUCUGUAAGUCUGAGCAGAUGAACACAAACACUGGAGAUGCUGUACAGUGCUGAUAUUGAGAGGAUUUACAGAACUGAUCUGCUGGUAUUGCGGUUUUAAACAACUGAUGACUAUAAUAUUUCAUUAAUACUGCUGCAAAAUAUGUUUGGCAUGUGUUCUACCUGACUGGAAACAUUGGCACCGGAAAUGAGCAAGUUUAUGAGAAAUUUAAACCUUUAACCCCAUCCUGAACCCUGAAUUAUAAUUAUAAAAUAAAUAAAUAACCCUGAUUAUAAUUAUUUUAUAAUUAAUAUAAUUAUUAAUUUCUUAAUUUUCAAACAUUAUUUUGGCAGAAAAACACAAGGAACCCUUAAAGCUCCUUUUUUUGCAGACAACAGCUAGUUAAUAAGUGCUUCUCUUAAAUUCUCUUUUGUUGACAUAUAUUUAAUUAUUAAUUAAUUUUAUAAUCACACUAAGCCAAAUGAGACCCUGCACCACAAAACAAGUCAAAAGGGUUUUUGAAACUGAGAUUUAUACAUCCUCUAAAAGCUGAAUAAAUAAUCUUUCCAUUGAUGUAUGGUUUGUUAGGAGGACAAUAUUUGUCUGAGAUACAACUAUUUGAAAAUCUGGAAUCUGAGGGUGCAAAAAAAUCUAAAUAUUGAGAAAAUCUCCUUUAAAGUUCUCCAAAUGAAUACAUAGCAAUGCAUAUUACUAAUCAAAAAUUAAGUUUUGAUAUAUUUACGGUAGGAAAUUUACAAAAUAUCUUCAUGGAACAUGAUCUUUACUUAAUAUCCUAAUGAUUUUUGGCAUAAAAGAAAAAUCGAUAAUUUUGACCCAUACAAUGUAUUUUUGGCUAUUGCUACAAAUAUACCCCAGAGACUUCAGACUGCUUUUGUGCUCCAGGGUCACAUAUCUCAACGGCCUUCCUCAAAUGAGUUUAGAACAACACAAGGGUGAGUAAACCAUGAACUCUCUCAUUAAAUGUGGCCUAUGAGCUGUGAUUUACAUGUAAACGUGGUGUGUCUCAUGUCCAGCGGCAGCGUUUCCUCUGGCACGUCUCGAGCUCUGAAGAGAAGUCGUCUGAGUCACUCUCAGAGGCGGAGUCAGGCCAUAAGGAGGCGUGGCCUGAUUGAGUGUAGGGGGAGCAUAGAAUGCAAGAACCACUGUGUUCCGGUUUACACACAGAACUGGCAUCAUUUCCCUUACAGCCGUCACUGGAAACAGACAGCGGCGAGUCGCAGCAAGGACAGGAAGCAGAUACCUGGUCAAAUUUAGGGUCAGGAAGGGAAUUGUGGUCAGGGCUGGAGGCGGAGCCACAGUAGAGGUCAGAAGGUGAGGGGGAAUCAAGGUAACAUGUAACAUCCAUUACAGAGACGGUUUCUUGAUAUUGUGCAUCAUCUGGACAGCAAGCAGGAUAUAUGGAGGCAGAAUCAAGAGGCUCAUCUUUACCGCGGUAAGAGCCACGGUUAUCAGAGAAGGAACUAGAAAUAAAGACGCGUUCAGUGUCAGAGGGAUUGUGGGAAGGAAAGGGGCUCAUGUAUUCAUCAUAGUCGCCAUCUUCUGUUUGUGUGGCUUUGUCUUCCCUGUUGUGUGCGCAGGCGUCUGCGCAGCCGAGGGUCAGCACCCAUCCCAGCUGCUUAGACAGCAGCAGACGCAGACCCGGCGGCAGCGGCAGCACGCGCAGAGCGUCUGCGCAGUUGGGCAGCAUUUUGCGCAGCUGCAUGCAACACAGGUACUGUAAUGUUGUGGGCCCAGAAUGUGAACGGAUCAGUUUCAUGCUGCUCUUGGCCGCAGUCGAACACACCAUCGGAUACAGACGCUUAUUCUGCAAACAGGAGAUGUCAUCUUGAUUUCCCAGAAGUGCUGUCCGUCGCUGAGAGGCUUGGCUCCUCUGAUGGCGGCGGUUCCACAGCUGUACUCCGAGUGGAAGCUCACCUUGCGUUCAGAGCAGCUCAGAGUCACCGAGGAUGAUUUGCUCUCCUCGUCCCAAACCCAAUCACAUCCUUAACACGACAAACACAAAGAACCAUGAUUUCCAAUCUGAAACUUUCCUACUGUACUGUACCUGACUGUUUAUAAGUAGGUGGAUUUUUGUGAGUUAAUGUUUUUCUAAUCGUAUAAAAUCGACAGUGUGUUGUCUGUUAAGUCAAAAAUGUAUUUAAUUGAAAUAAAUUCUCAUUUUGAAAAAUUAUGACUGUUAUAAUUUCUGACCGUUUGUAAUGUU